RNAcentral lists this ribosomal RNA (449 nucleotides) under uncultured bacterium. Its description in RNAcentral is "partial 16S ribosomal RNA". It matches the Rfam family "Bacterial small subunit ribosomal RNA", at positions 354 to 796 of the family's 1533-position model. The record is from RNAcentral.
GUCGAGAAUCUUUCACAAUGGGGGCAACCCUGAUGGAGCGACGCCGCGUGGAGGAUAAGGUCUUCGGAUUGUAAACUCCUGUCAUGCGUGAACAAGGUUGCUUGGUUAAUACCUGGGCAAAUUGAUGGUAACGCAAGAGGAAGAGACGGCUAACUCUGUGCCAGCAGCCGCGGUAAUACAGAGGUCUCAAGCGUUGUUCGGAAUCACUGGGCGUAAAGGGUGCGUAGGUGGCGUGGUAAGUCAGAUGUGAAAGCCCGGGGCUCAACCUCGGAACUGCAUCCGAUACUGCCAUGCUAGAGUACUGGAGAGGUGACUAGAACUCUCGGUGUAGCAGUGAAAUGCGUAGAUAUCGAGAGGAAUACCAAAGGCGUAGGCAGGUCACUGGACAGUUACUGACACUGAGGCACGAAGGCCAGGGGAGCGAACGGGAUUAGAUACCCCAGUAGUCC